UUUAUUGGAGAGUUUGAUCCUGGCUCAGGAUGAACGCUGGCGGCGUGCCUAAUAGAUGCAAGUCGAGCGCAUGGAAUAAGAGCAUACUCUUAUAACGUUA
This 100-nucleotide ribosomal RNA is filed under the name Bacillus thuringiensis. RNAcentral's name for it is "partial 16S ribosomal RNA". It matches the Rfam family "Bacterial small subunit ribosomal RNA", at positions 1 to 93 of the family's 1533-position model. Lineage: Bacteria; Bacillati; Bacillota; Bacilli; Caryophanales; Bacillaceae. The record is from RNAcentral.